AUACGGAGGGUGCGAGCGUUAAUCGGAAUUACUGGGCGUAAAGCGUACGUAGGCGGUUUGCUAAGUCAGAUGUGAAAGCCCCGGGCUUAACCUGGGAACUGCAUUUGAUACUGGCAGACUAGAGUAUGAUAGAGGGGGGUAGAAUUCCUGGUGUAGCGGUGAAAUGCGUAGAUAUCAGGAGGAAUACCAGUGGCGAAGUCGGCCCCCUGGAUCAAUACUGACGCUGAGGUACGAAAGCGUGGGGAGCGAACAGGAUUAGAAACCCUAGUAGUCC
Molecule: ribosomal RNA, 274 nt
Filed under: uncultured bacterium
Lineage: Bacteria
Description: partial 16S ribosomal RNA
Rfam family: Bacterial small subunit ribosomal RNA
Source: RNAcentral